Molecule: ribosomal RNA, 270 nt
Filed under: uncultured archaeon
Lineage: Archaea
Description: partial 16S ribosomal RNA
Rfam family: Archaeal small subunit ribosomal RNA
Source: RNAcentral
CAGCACCUCAAGUGGUCAGGAUGAUUAUUGGGCCUAAAGCAUCCGUAGCCGGCGCUGUAAGUUUUCGGUUAAAUCUGUACGCUCAACGUACAGGCUGCCGGGAAUACUGCAGAGCUAGGGAGUGGGAGAGGUAGACGGUACUCGGUAGGAAGGGGUAAAAUCCUUUGAUCUAUUGAUGACCACCUGUGGCGAAGGCGGUCUACCAGAACACGUCCGACGGUGAGGGAUGAAAGCUGGGGGAGCAAACCGGAUUAGAUACCCGCGUAGUCC